UCCAACAGGAUGCCACCUGACAGUCAUCAGUCUGUUACCCACAGUGGCUGGAGUACAGAUAUCCUGGGAGUUGGCCUGAGCUGACAUUUCUUGGGCUUUCUUCUUCCAAACUCUGAAAGCUGAAAUCCACCCAAUCAUUGCUAUUGGCUAUGAUGCCAACCAGAAAUCGUCCUGGUCCUGGCAGCCUUUGUGGAAAUAUUCUUCCCAAAGGUUACCUUCCCAACACUGACUUUUAAAAGGAAUAUUUGGAGGACUUGAGGUCAUGGCACUGUCUGGGCUUCCCUGGCCCAUUGGCUCUUGCCAUCUUUCCUUUGGGUUUAUUUUUCUAAGUUUUCUCUUGGGUCCUUCUCCUGCCUCUUCCCCAGGAUUCUUGUCCUUUUUGUUUGCCAGAAGCAUAGUAACAGUGACUAUGUGGUGGUGAGCUAUGCUAGGACCAAUAGGAGACAGGCUGAUAUAAACCAUUUAGGGAAGAGACCCAGCCGUAAAUGGAUGUCUUGUUCAGCUGUUAUUUUAUUGGGUGCACAAAUGAUCUGAAACUAGUAAAUAACUGGGUUCUAAGGGCUGAUCCUGUUCUGUUGGGAAAAACACUCAAAUGAACUUCAGUGGCCUUAGACAAAUCAUUUCCCCUCUUUGAACCUUAGUUUCUUCCUCUGUAAAGUGAAAGGGUGGGAUUAGAAAAUAAUUAUUGGCCUGGCUCCACCAGCUUUGUGGCUGUAUAUCAGGUUCCCAGUACUACCAAGUUAAACAGAGGCAGAGACAUUAGGCAGAACAGAUCUGGUUUCAGCCUUCUCUCUCCCUCCCAUGUUACUCAUCUCUCUGACAGUAUUUUUUCUCAUGCUAAUGAGACUGAAGCAAAAUGGCCAGAGAGAAGAUUGGAAGGGAUUUUUUUUUUUGUCAUGGAAAUGUUUUGACAAAAUGAUGGAUUGUUUUUCUGAGCUGUACAGUUUAUUUUGUUCAUGCCGCAGAAGGGAAGAGAGCUGAAAUAGGAGCUGCAUCAGAUUAGGAAGCCACAAAUGGAGGAGACAAGAGCUAGAUCCACCCUCCCACCUGCCACCUUGUUGCCCCAAGUGAGCAGAAAUGCAUGGGAUAAGGAGCAAUGCUCUAGGCACAGCUACUGCCCCAGCAGCCCUAGCCAUGUAGCCCAGUAGCCAUGGGGUAAAAUGGACCUCAUUAAUCCCAUUGAAAGCAUCAGGGUCAAGGCUAUAGAAAGAGGUUCUGUUCAGGCAAGGAAGGGCAUUUGUCAGGCAUUCUCAGAUAUCUCCCAGGUCCUAUAAAACCCUACAACUCUCACCUUAUACUUUAGAUUGUCAGGAAGGAUAGGUUGUGAGACAAGGACUCUGUAAACCUUAAAACAGUCUAUAAAUGGGAGUUAGAGUUAUGAGACAAUGGGACCUAGAAUACUGGGCUUGGAUUCAGGAAGCUUUGGGUUCAAAUCACUCCUCCAACAACCACAACUUGUACGUUUGCAGAAAAAAGGCACUCAAGUUUUUGAGUCUCAGGCAACUAUCUUCGCAGCGUUAGAUGGCUUGGCGGAGGGAGUUCCUUCAUUCAUGAAGUUACCCACAUUUGAUCCUACCCCUUGUUUGUCAAGGGUUAAUCAGACUUGUCGAAUUCUAGAGCUAAAAGAUAAGAUAAAAGACAAUCUUCUAAUCCAAUUCUAAUCCCUUUUAAUCUAGCCUGUUUGUUAACUCAUCCUCAUUAAUAACUCCUCAAUCUAGUCCAUUUAAUGACUCAGUAAACUGAGGACUGUUUGGGCAAAGUGAUUUCUCCCAGGUUUCUGCAUAAGCCAAUGGCAGAGAUGGCACUAGGACUCCUCUUUUCAUGACAGCAUAAAGCCUAAAAUAGUCUCCAUAGCUCUAGUUUUCAUGGAGGAGGAAAGGAUUAUAUAGUACCCACUCUGUGCCAGGGGCUUUGAAAUUAUUAUCUCAUAUAUCCUCACAACUCUGGGAGGUAGCUGCCAUUAUUAUCCCUAUUUUACAUUUAAGGAAAUGAAGGAAGACACAUUAAGUGACUUGUCUAAGGUCAUACAACUAGAAAUAAGACUUGAACUCAAUUCUUCCUGACAACCACUUAGUUGCCUCUAAAUGAGGUAGUGGAAAGAGGAAAGAAGGAUUGGCUGAAGUCUAGCAAAUACUAUCAUAGGAUCCAUGAAAGAGGUGAGGUCAAGAAGGAAUGAUGGGACAAUAGAGAUGAUCAGAUCUCUCACUUCAGAGAAACAACAUAGUACAGUGGAAUACUGGACUCGGAAUCAGAGAGACCUGGGUUCAAAUCCCACCUUUGAUAGAAUUCUAGGCAAGUCAUUUGUCUUAAUCCUGUUUGUCUCAGUUCCUUAUAUGUAAAAUGAGAUGAGAAGGAAAUGGUAAAACCAUUCCAUUUUUGCCAAGGAAAUCCCAAAUGUCAAACAUGACUGAAAUGACUGAACAACAACAUAGGCUUCUUGUCUACUCAUUCUAACCCCUCUCCUCUUCUUAGAAAGCUUUUUGCUUUGGAAGUGCAGGCAUUGGGGAAAGAUGGUGAGAUGAAGAAACAAUCAAAUGAGCUCUAGAGUCCUCAUGAAGUCCUCCCUGGCUGUAGUUUUCUGUGGGCCUCCGAGAAUAAUUGCUUUUCUGAAUCCUAAAAUGUCAGAAAACAACGAUCACAAAUGGCUUCACCAUGCAAAUGAAAAAUAAAUAAAUACUUUUAAAAGAGAAAAUUACAAUAAAGAAAAAUGCUGCAAAGAGGCAAGUUAAGACUCGAGGUCAGAAAAAAAGCUUUCUACCAACUAGAACCAUCCCAGAGUACAAUGGGCUGCUUAGAAGUUGCUUUCUCCCUUUGUAUGUUGGCUAUGUUCCUUUCCUGUAUCAGAUGGGGAAGCUAAGACUGAGAAAUUAAAUGACUUUUCUGAGGUCAUCCAGUAAGUUGGACCCUGAGUCUGUGUGAUUUCAAGAGACGUUUGAGAGAUCACAUGUAUGUCCAUAUACACAGUAAGUCUACACGUUUCCCUUCUGUAUCCAUGCAUACACAGAAUAACCAUAAAGAGACUAAAUACUAAGAAGCUAAAUGCAAGGUAGUUGGGCAGGAGGGCACGAGCACAACACUUGAGGCCUCUCUUGAAGGACAAGUGGAAUUCUUCAAGGUGGUGGUGACGAUGCCCACAUCCUAGGCAUGGGGAAAAGUCAGUGUGAAAGGGAGGAGAAAGGAAGGGUGGGAACAGCAAGAAUGUUCAAUGAGUCAGAAAACAUAACAAGUCACAAGCUGUAAAGGCUUGAAAGUUUUAGCCUGGGUAAACCCUGGGACUCCUUACCCCAAGUUCCACUCUCUCUGGGGAGUCAGGAGCCACCACCAGUUUAGCCAUAGACCCUGAGGUCUUUAUCCAAGCUGCCCACCUCUCCCUGGCAAGUUGGGCUCCCAUCUUCCCCUUGAGGUUCUAAGGCUGUCUCUGAGGGGCUGGGAUACUUUUCUAAUGGUGCUGGCCCAAGUCUCCAUUUGGGUGUGUUCUCCUCCAUAUCAAUUGUGUCAGUUACAGUUAAUAUUUCCAUAGCAUAAUCGAUUGUCCCCAUGGUUGGUACCUCAGCAUCUUUGCCCUUUGUUUCCCAGGAAAAGACUCAAACUCAGCUCAACUAUCAUAUACAAGAUUCUCUACAACCCCACCCCAUUCACUUUCAGUUCUCAUCGCUGAUGGAUGAGUUGAUUUCUUUUGCUUGCAGAAAAUGGCAUUUCGGUGUCAAUUCAUUGUUGGACUGGUUUGAGGAGGUCAUUCUGGGCUUUUUCCUUACAGAGAUUGGCUACCUGGGUCUUAACUGCGGUGUCCUGGAGAAAGUCUACCCAUGGAACUUCUCCACAUACAGAAUUUGCCAGGACCAAGCCCAUAGAAUGAAGGGAAAUGGUCUAGUCUACUUGAGGAUUAAAUUUAGGGUUGUAGCAACUGAAGAGAAAAUACUUUGGCGACGGGUGUACAAGGUUCAGCUUUGGAAGCUGUUCUGUGCCUUCCCAGGACCCUUUUCUCAGAUGCCACUCUUUCCUCCCAUCUGGUCCCUCCUCUCUUCAGUCCCUAUUCUCUGCCUUCUCCCUUGCUCUAGUUUUCUCUUCAGGCUUUGUUGUUGUUCAGUUGCUCAGUUGUGUUUGACUCUUUGUGACCCUAUUUUUCUUGGGAAAGAUACUGGAGUGGUUCAUAAUUUCUUUUUCCAGCUCAUUUUAUAGGUGAGGAAACUGAAGCAAAUGGGUAAGUGACUUGCCCACGGUCACAUGGCUAAUAAGUGAAACCAGAUCUGAACUCCGGUUUUAUUGUUUCUAGACUCAGCAUCCUAUCCACUGUAUGACCUGGCUGCCCUUUUCUUCUGGAUAUCCUCAUGGAAUUCCAUUGUAAGCCAGACCAAGACAGUUCUCAGUGGAUCAUUGAACAGAGUUAUCUUUGGAGCUGUACCUGUUUAAAAAGCUCUAUUCCCACUCAAAGACUUUGUGAUUCUGGGUAUCUGAGUCACAAAUUAACGUACGACCUUUGGAACCUGGAGAGUGGAUUUGAAAGUUUCAUAUUAUUCCCUGAAACUAAGAAAGAAGAUUUUGAUCCUUCUGGGGUUGACAUCCUCAUGGGUCCAAAGCUCACCACAUUUCCAGGGUAAUGCCUGAUCAGAGGAAAUAGAUGGAAAGACCCAGCCUAGAAUGAAACCAGACUCUGCAAAGGGUUUUUUUGAGUGCUUUAUUUCCUAGAGGGACAAAAGCAAAAGGUACUUUCUCGACAGACAAAUGUGAGGCCUGGAAGUUCUCUGUUUCCCUAGAUGACAGUGAUGACAUAGGGAAAGUAUGCAUUCGCCUGUUGGAAAAUACCUAGAAGCUUAUGCUGGCAGACAUCACCUACUUCUGACUGCCCUCCAUUCUCAUAGCCUGAAUCCCAGCUGCUCUCCCAUUGUAUAUUCUCAAAAGAGAAUUUGUUGUUGUUCAGUCAUGUCCAACGCUUCGUGACCCAUUUGGGGUUUUCUUGGCAGAGAUACUAGAGGGGCUUGCCAUUUCUUUCUCCAGAUCAUUUUACAGAUGAGAAAACUGAGGUAAACAGGGUUAAGUGACUUGCUUAAGAUCACUUAGCUAGUAAAUAUCUGCAGCCAGAUUUGAACUCAGAAAGAUGAAUCUUCCUUACUCCAGCCCCAGCACUCCAUCUACUCUCUCUCCUAAAAGAGAAUAGCUGGUCUUCUCUCCUGGAGCCCCCAUCUCUGGUUAAGAGGAAGGAUGGUACCCCCAACCAUUUAGGCAGCUUCAGCUGCCUCUUAG
This is a non-coding RNA of Monodelphis domestica (gray short-tailed opossum), 5241 nucleotides long. Lineage: Eukaryota; Metazoa; Chordata; Mammalia; Didelphimorphia; Didelphidae. The record is from RefSeq and is a predicted model, not a curated record.